UCAUUUUUUAUUAAGUAGGCCAUUUUGGAGCUAACUAAGCUAAUUAUGUCAUUUCGUAGGAUAAUUAGCCAAUUUAGCCUUUCUUGGAUAAGUCUAAGCUACGUAGAANCCUUCUUCUCCUUCUUCUUCUCCUCCUCCCUCUCCUCCUUCUCCUCAUUUUUCCUCUUCCUUCCUUUCAUUUUUCCUCUUUUUCUCUUCUUGUCCCCUUCUUCGGGCUAAAUUGGCUAAGAAUACCUUUUUGGAGCUAAUUA
This 251-nucleotide long non-coding RNA is filed under the name Hordeum vulgare. Its description in RNAcentral is "long non-coding RNA (HVUL_LNC004264)". Lineage: Eukaryota; Viridiplantae; Streptophyta; Magnoliopsida; Poales; Poaceae. The record is from RNAcentral.